CAUCGCCUCUUGCAAUAAACGAAUAAGAGGUCCCGCCUGCCCUGUGACUCUAGUUUAACGGCCGCGGUAUUUUGACCGUGCAAAGGUAGCGCAAUCACUUGUCUUUUAAAUGAAGACCUGUAUGAAUGGCAUAACGAGGGCUUAACUGUCUCCUUUUUCCAGUCAAUGAAAUUGAUUUCUCCGUGCAGAAGCUGAGAUAUUUACAUAAGACGAGAAGACCCUAUGGAGCUUAAGACGAAGGGCAGACCAUGUUAAUUAACCUAACCCAAAUAGAUUAAACUAAUUGGCUUUCUGCCUUAAUGUCUUUGGUUGGGGCGACCGCGGGGAAAUAAAAAACCCCCACGUGGAAAAAGAGCACUUUCUCUUACAACCCAGAGUGACAACUCUAAGUAACAGAACUUAUGACCAAAAAUGAUCCGGCAAUGCCGAUCAACGAAUCGAGUUACCCUAGGGAUAACAGCGCAAUCCCCUCCUAGAGCCCAUAUCGACGAGAGGGUUUACGACCUCGAUGUUGGAUCAGGACAUCCUAAUGGUGCAGCCGCUAUUAAGGGUUCGUUUGUUCAACGAUUAAAGUCCUACGUGA
RNAcentral lists this ribosomal RNA (583 nucleotides) under Cololabis saira (Pacific saury). RNAcentral describes it as "partial 16S ribosomal RNA". It matches the Rfam family "Bacterial large subunit ribosomal RNA", at positions 1814 to 2603 of the family's 2925-position model. Lineage: Eukaryota; Metazoa; Chordata; Actinopteri; Beloniformes; Belonidae. The record is from RNAcentral.